This 374-nucleotide ribosomal RNA is filed under the name uncultured bacterium. RNAcentral describes it as "bacterial SSU rRNA". It matches the Rfam family "Bacterial small subunit ribosomal RNA", at positions 524 to 898 of the family's 1533-position model. The record is from RNAcentral.
UACGAAGGGGGCUAGCGUUGUUCGGAAUUACUGGGCGUAAAGCGCACGUAGGCGGCUUUCCAAGUUGGAGGUGAAAUCCCCGGGCUUAACCCGGGAACUGCCUCCAAAACUGAAAGGCUAGAGUCCGAGAGAGGUGAGUGGAAUUUCCAGUGUAGAGGUGAAAUUCGUAGAUAUUGGAAAGAACACCAGUGGCGAAGGCGGCUCACUGGCUCGGUACUGACGCUGAGGUGCGACAGCGUGGGGAGCAAACAGGAUUAGAUACCCUGGUAGUCCACGCCGUAAACGAUGGGUGCUAGUUGUCGGGCAGCUUGCUGUUCGGUGACGCAGCUAACGCAUUAAGCACCCCGCCUGGGGAGUACGGUCGCAAGAUUAAA